AGGGCACCACCAGGAGUGGAGCCUGCGGCUUAAUUUGACUCAACACGGGGAAACUCACCAGGUCCAGACACAAUAAGGAUUGACAGAUUGAGAGCUCUUUCUUGAUUUUGUGGGUGGUGGUGCAUGGCCGUUCUUAGUUGGUGGAGUGAUUUGUCUGCUUAAUUGCGAUAACGAACGAGACCUUAACCUACUAAAUAGUGCUGCUAGCAUUUGCUGGUAUGACACUUCUUAGAGGGACUACCGAUUUCAAGUCGGUGGAAGUUUGAGGCA
RNAcentral lists this ribosomal RNA (270 nucleotides) under uncultured eukaryote. Its description in RNAcentral is "partial small subunit ribosomal RNA". It matches the Rfam family "Eukaryotic small subunit ribosomal RNA", at positions 1161 to 1452 of the family's 1831-position model. The record is from RNAcentral.